Molecule: long non-coding RNA, 611 nt
Filed under: Pogona vitticeps (central bearded dragon)
Lineage: Eukaryota; Metazoa; Chordata; Lepidosauria; Squamata; Agamidae
Description: lncRNA (ENSPVIG00000005308.1)
Source: RNAcentral
AAUAAUUGGAUGGAUGGAUUAAUGAAUGAAUGAGGGCAUGAACUGUAAAUUAAUGCUGGUGUUUUAUUUCCAUCCAGCCAUGUAUCUUACGCCAGAAGAAAAUAUCCCCAUGUCCUCAUGGUCUUGGCUGUGGAAGAAAAAAAGCAACUCCAUCUUCCCAGCUGCUGAAAGGCGAAGCAAAGCAGAGGCCUGGAUGCAAAGUGUUAUCCCCUCAAGCUCUCAAGUAACUGAAGAAUCUGUGAGAAGCGAUGCCGAACCCAAAUCGCAAACAACCAUCAUCUCAUCCAUCCCUUUGCCAGGCAGUGUUCCUGACUACAUGGAUGAGUUGGAAAAUCCAUCCUUACAAACUAAUCCUUCCUGUGCAGCAAAAAGCAUUGGCCCUGAUAAGGAACCUGGGCAUGGUGUAAUCGGACAGGGACACUCUUUGUUGAAUAAAUUAAGAUUUGACAAAAACAAGCUGUCAUUUGUGAAAUGCCUGACUGAAAAGAAAGAAAGCAAAACAGCCACACAAAAAGGUAUUUUGAGAGGAGCAACUCUGCUGCCUGACCUUCCACAGUAAGGUUCUAACUUGAGGAAUGCAUGCUUUUCCUUGAGCAUGUCUUACAUUUCUA